UCAAGUAAUUAAGUGCAUGUGGUGGAUGCCUUGGCAGUCAGAGGCGAUGAAAGACGUGAUAGCCUGCGAAAAGCUCCGGGGAGGCGGCAAAUAUCCUUUGAUCCGGAGAUGUCUGAAUGGGGGAACCCACCUACUUUAAGGUAGGUAUUGCAACAUGAAUACAUAGUGUUGCAAGGCGAACGAGGGGAAGUGAAACAUCUCAGUACCCUUAGGAAAAGAAAUCAAUUGAGAUUCCCUCAGUAGCGGCGAGCGAACGGGGAUCAGCCCAUUAAGUUAUGUGUGUUUUAGUGGAACGCUCUGGGAAGUGCGAACGUAGAGGGUGAUAUUCCCGUACACGAAAGGGCACACAUAAUGAUGACGAGUAGGGCGAGGCACGUGAAACCUUGUCUGAAUAUGGGGGGACCAUCCUCCAAGGCUAAAUACUCCUGACUGACCGAUAGUGAACCAGUACCGUGAGGGAAAGGCGAAAAGAACCCCUGUGAGGGGAGUGAAAUAGAUCCUGAAACCGCAUGCAUACAAGCAGUGGGAGCACCUUCGUGGUGUGACUGCGUACCUUUUGUAUAAUGGGUCAGCGACUUAUAUUCAGUAGCGAGGUUAACCGUAUAGGGAGCCGUAGAGAAAUCGAGUCUUAAUAGGGCGUUUAGUUGCUGGGUAUAGACCCGAAACCAGGCGAUCUAUCCAUGAGCAGGUUGAAGGUUGGGUAACACUAACUGGAGGACCGAACCCACUGUCGUUGAAAAGCCAGGGGAUGACUUGUGGAUAGGGUGAAAGGCUAAUCAAGCCUGGUGAUAGCUGGUUCUCCCCGAAAGCUAUUUAGGUAGCGCCUCGGACGAAUACCAUAGGGGGUAGAGCACUGUUUCGGCUAGGGGGUCAUCCCGACUUACCAAACCGAUGCAAACUCCGAAUACCUAUGAGUACUAUCCGGGAGACAGACUGCGGGUGCUAACGUCCGUAGUCAAGAGGAAAACAAUCCAGACCGCCAGCUAAGGCCCCAAAAUCAUAGUUAAGUGGGAAACGAUGUGGGAAGGCAUAGACAGCUAGGAGGUUGGCUUAGAAGCAGCCACCCUUUAAAGAAAGCGUAAUAGCUCACUAGUCGAGUCGGCCUGCGCGGAAGAUGUAACGGGGCUAAAACUAUGUGCCGAAGCUGCGGAUGUAUACUUUGUAUACGUGGUAGGGGGAGCGUUCUGUAAGCCGAUGAAGGUGUGUUGAGAAGCAUGCUGGAGGUAUCAGAAGUGCGAAUGCUGACGUGAGUAACGACAAAACGGGUGAAAAACCCGUUCGCCGAAAGACCAAGGGUUCCAGUCCAACGUUAAUCGGGGCUGGGUGAGUCGACCCCCUAAGGCGAGGCCGAAAGGCGUAGUCGAUGGGAAAAUGGUUAAUAUUCCAUUACUUCUGUGUAAUGCGAUGAGAGGACGGAGAAGGCUAAAUCAGCCUGGCGUUGGUUGUCCAGGUGAAAGGAUGUAGGCAUGUAUCUUAGGCAAAUCCGGGGUACUCUAUGCUGAGAUCUGAUAGCAAGCUGUACUUGUACAGCGAAGUGGUUGAUGCCAUGCUUCCAGGAAAAGUCUCUAAGCUUCAGUUACACAGGAAUCGUACCCGAAACCGACACAGGUGGUCAGGUCGAGUAGACCAAGGCGCUUGAGAGAACUCUGCUGAAGGAACUAGGCAAAAUGGUACCGUAACUUCGGGAGAAGGUACGCUGUUGUUGGUGAUGGAACUCGCUUCCUGAGCUGACGACAGCCGCAGAAACCAGGCCGCUGCAACUGUUUAUUAAAAACAUAGCACUCUGCAAACACGAAAGUGGACGUAUAGGGUGUGAUGCCUGCCCGGUGCUGGAAGGUUAAUUGAUGGGGUUAGCGUAAGCGAAGCUCUUGAUCGAAGCCCCAGUAAACGGCGGCCGUAACUAUAACGGUCCUAAGGUAGCGAAAUUCCUUGUCGGGUAAGUUCCGACCUGCACGAAUGGCAUAAUGAUGGCGGCGCUGUCUCCAGCAGAGGCUCAGUGAAAUCGAAAUCGCUGUGAAGAUGCAGUGUACCCGCGGCUAGACGGAAAGACCCCGUGAACCUUUACUGCAGCUUGACACUGAACUUUGACCUUACUUGUGUAGGAUAGGUGGGAGGCUUUGAAGCUGGAACGCUAGUUCCAGUGGAGCCGUCCUUGAAAUACCACCCUGGUAAUGUUGAGGUUCUAACUCUGUCCCGUGAUCCGGGACGAGGACCGUGUCUGGUGGGUAGUUUGACUGGGGCGGUCUCCUAAAGAGUAACGGAGGAGUACGAAGGUGCGCUCAGCGUGGUCGGAAAUCACGCGUAGAGUAUAAAGGCAAAAGCGCGCUUAACUGCGAGACCCACAAGUCGAGCAGGUACGAAAGUAGGUCUUAGUGAUCCGGUGGUUCUGUAUGGAAGGGCCAUCGCUCAACGGAUAAAAGGUACUCUGGGGAUAACAGGCUGAUACCGCCCAAGAGUUCAUAUCGACGGCGGUGUUUGGCACCUCGAUGUCGGCUCAUCUCAUCCUGGGGCUGAAGCAGGUCCCAAGGGUAUGGCUGUUCGCCAUUUAAAGAGGUACGCGAGCUGGGUUUAGAACGUCGUGAGACAGUUCGGUCCCUAUCUACCGUGGGCGCUGGAAAUUUGAGAGGAUCUGCUCCUAGUACGAGAGGACCAGAGUGGACGAACCUCUGGUGUACCGGUUGUGACGCCAGUCGCAUCGCCGGGUAGCUAUGUUCGGAAGGGAUAACCGCUGAAAGCAUCUAAGCGGGAAGCCUACCUCAAGAUAAGAUUUCCCUAGGACUUUAUGUCCUCUAAAGAGCCGUUCGAGACUAGGACGUUGAUAGGUUGGAUGUGGAAGCAUAGUGAUAUGUGAAGCUGACCAAUACUAAUUGCUCGUGAGGCUUGACUA
RNAcentral lists this ribosomal RNA (2887 nucleotides) under Acinetobacter baumannii. RNAcentral's name for it is "bacterial LSU rRNA". It matches the Rfam family "Bacterial large subunit ribosomal RNA". The record is from RNAcentral. Lineage: Bacteria; Pseudomonadati; Pseudomonadota; Gammaproteobacteria; Moraxellales; Moraxellaceae.